CACGGGCUGAUUUAUGUUGCUGUUUACUCCAUGGGAGCUGAAGCUGCCGGGAAUGGAAAGGUCUCUUCUCUGGAACCAGCUGGGCAGGACAGCGUUUCACAGCCCCGGGAGGGAUGGCUGAUGGGAACCGACCCACGCUUCCUAUUCUUUAUCCGUCCCACAAUAUUCGAGUCAAAACAUAAUGUGGACACCUGACAGGGUGAUGGCCAUCUGCUAUCCUUUUGUUUUCUAGUCCCGGCUAUCGAGGCUCUGUCAGAAACGACAAAGUCUGUUCUCACAAAACAGUCUGAAAUACUGCGACACUCGGAAGCAUUUUCUCACGUGAUCCCAGAAAAUGCGGGCUGAGGUCAUUUACAUGAAGGAGGCAUCUGCUUUAAAUGCUCUGAGGGUUUUAGGUCAAACCCCUGACGUUCAGAGGUGUGUUUCCGACGGGGAGCGGCAAUGCCGAGGGCUGGCUCUGCAGCGUCUGCCUGCUGCCGGCCUCCGGCCGCCGCCGCGGGACCGUGCCGGGCUCUCCUCUGCGGGACGGAGGGCGUUCAGGCCAGGACUGCGAGAGGCCUCCGCCUGGCCGUUUCUGCAGGUAGGGCUGUGCAGGCCACGCUGAAGUUGCUUUCAAAAUCCCGGCUGUGCGUGCACUCUCGUCACAUCGCUUGUCUUUUUGUGUAUGCUCAGGACUUGAGAAAUAAGCUUUGACAUACAGAAAAAAACAAACCCAAACAGAAAUCAAAGAAGAGAUUACUGAUAAAAAGGAGAGAGCAGAGACAGAGGAGCAGCUGUCAGGCCGGACAAUGAAUGCUGCACAAAAGAAAGGGCAAAUCUGCUGAAAAUAAUGCCCAGGAAGCUAAAGCUGCGUUGCUGGUAUGUGGGUAGAACUGGGUAGAAUUGUAUUUUCUGAAGCAAAUGUAUAAGCUGUUUUGAAGUGUCCAAUACUUAAAAACAGAAGACAUAAAUCCUAUUUCAUUGA
Molecule: non-coding RNA, 964 nt
Organism: Phalacrocorax carbo (great cormorant)
Lineage: Eukaryota; Metazoa; Chordata; Aves; Suliformes; Phalacrocoracidae
Source: RefSeq, a predicted model, not a curated record